UACGAAGGGUGCAAACGUUGCUCGGAAUUAUUGGGCGUAAAGCGCACGUAGGCGGCUUUGCAAGUCCCAUGUGAAAUCCCACGGCUCAACCGUGGAAGUGCAUGGGAAACUGCAGAGCUUGAGUACUUAAGAGGAUCGCGGAAUUCCCGGUGUAGAGGUGAAAUUCGUAGAUAUCGGGAGGAACACCGGUGGCGAAGGCGGUUCUCUGGGCCGUUCCUGACGCUGAGACGCGAAAGCUAGGGGAGCGAACAGG
This 253-nucleotide ribosomal RNA is filed under the name uncultured bacterium. RNAcentral's name for it is "partial 16S ribosomal RNA". It matches the Rfam family "Bacterial small subunit ribosomal RNA", at positions 524 to 776 of the family's 1533-position model. The record is from RNAcentral.